GAGUUUGAUCCUGGCUCAGAACGAACGCUGGCGGCGCGUUUUAACAUGCAAGUCGAACGGCAAGGGUAGCAAUACCCCUAGAGUGGCGAACGGGUGAGUAACAGUAGGUGAUCUGCCUCGAACAUGGGGAUAACCUUUGGAAACAAAGGAUAAUACCGAAUAGAUCUGUUGACUAUGGUUGAUAGAUGAAAGGCGCUAAGGCGCCGGUUUGAGAUGAGCCUCGGCUGAUUAGCUAGUUGGUGGGGUAAAGGCCUACCAAGGCGACGAUCAGUAUCCGGCCGAGAGGGUGACCGGACACACUGGGACUGAGACACGGCCCAGACUCCUACGGGAGGCAGCGCUAAGAAUCUUCCGCAAUGGACGAAAGUCUGACGGAGCGACGCCGCGUGAACGACGAAGUCGAGAGAUUGUAAAGUUCUUUUAUGGAUGAGGAAUAAGCUUAGGAGGGAAUGCCUGAUGAUGACGUUAGUCCAUGAAUAAGCCCCGGCUAAUUACGUGCCAGCAGCCGCGGUAAU
RNAcentral lists this ribosomal RNA (515 nucleotides) under uncultured Spirochaetota bacterium. Its description in RNAcentral is "bacterial SSU rRNA". It matches the Rfam family "Bacterial small subunit ribosomal RNA", at positions 9 to 524 of the family's 1533-position model. Lineage: Bacteria; Pseudomonadati; Spirochaetota. The record is from RNAcentral.